GAGUGCUGGUAUUCUCUUCAGGCGAUAGCGGAGGUGUCGGUAAUUUAGAAAACUAGUGUUUGCCGGGUUAAAACGGCAUCCCUAUGCGUAUGCUUAAGCAUAAAAUAUCACUUGUCCAAAUAACCAUAGAGUUCAAUUCUGCAGGAAAUUCACUGACGACUCACUGACCUUGUGAUCUGGAAGAACAAGCGCUUAAGCUGGGUUUACACUGCGAUUUUUUACCAAGAUUUAGCUGUCACGGACAAAAUUCAUCCAUCCACCCAUUUUUCCAUACCGCUUUAUCCUACACAGGGUUGCGGGGAGCCUGAAGCCUGUCCCAGGGGUCUUGGGACAUCGCAGGGCACAAUCUCACACACACAAUCUGGAAAUGCCAUCAGCCUACAGCGCAUGUCUUUGGAUUGGAGUAUAUGAAACUGGAGUACCUGGAGGAAACCCCUGAAGCAUUGGGUGAACGUGAAAACUCUAUGCACACAGGGUGGUGGCGGGAUUUGAACCAUCAAACUCGGAGGUGCGAGGCAAACAGUGAAGUCACACAGUCUAAUCCUGGCUUUAUGAGAGAUACUUUUCCACCUGAAUAGGAUGGCGUAGAUCGUUCUUCAGGAUCAAAGGCUGAUCAUUCAGAGCCCCGGAAGCUAUCUUUACCUCACUUUAACAACCACCUUCUUUUGUUCCUAAGCCUCACAAAUCCCAUCACUCAGCAUCUCUCCUGACAGGCAAUGAGUUUGAAAUGAAUUGCACCAGUUUUUGCUCACGUUUGAAAGGUUUCGUGGUUCCAUAAAGCACCCGCAUCCUCCGCUUCCUGCCUUUUUUGUCACGCUGCCAACAUGCCUUGCGGUGCACGGCGCAUCGUUACGGUGUGCAGAGGUGGAAUGUUUUCAAGCUGAGAAACGCACAGUAGAAAAGCCCCGUGGCGCACAGAGGGACAUUAAUCGCAUAACGAAUCCGGGUGUGAUAGUGGGAGUGCGCGCGGCAUCGGGCUGCUGUGAAGUGUGAAGGAACGAGAGAGGAGUUGGGAAGGCCUGGGCCUGUUUUACUUACCUGGAGGCAGACGUUCCAGGGAUCACCUCGUAGACGUACACUCCUGAACUGACAUCUGGGAAAUCGGUCUCCCUCUCUUUCAGGAGUCUGCGAGGAACUGCCGUAUCCGGUCCGAGGGAAUUGCAAAUGAUAUUCCUGCCGUGACCUUCAGCGUGUUUAUGCCGAUGACGUCUCCAUCCUUGAAACACAAAAUGGACAGCAUAAUAGCCAAAUAGCAUCAAAUGAAUGAACGGUACGGCCUUGGGAAACAUAAAGGCCACCCCGGACCACUUGUUUGAGACGUGCGAUCCCAAAUUACACCGCUACGGAAAGUUCUUUCCAUUUUAAUCAGAAAACAGAAAUAGAACAACCUGUUACCUUGGGCUCGCGAGCAUUUUAAACUGAUGGAUGCAUCAACGAAAUGCAGCAGUAUGAAAAAUGUGAUUCAUUAAGGGCGCAUAAUGAUAGUGUCGUUCUGGCCUUAGCCUGGUUUUUCAGACAGCCGUGUCAUUUGGACUUAUGUACCCCUGCUGCUUUAUUCUAAUAAAUGACUCUGUGUGUGAGGACAUUUUAAAGCCCUUAUUAGUGGCGUUAGGUGUGUUAAUUCUUUCAAAUGUGGUUCGAGAUGUGAGAAACAUAUAUGGCUAUCACAUUCAAGUACACCAUCCACCUCACAAAAACAAAAUGAAUCCCUCUUGCGCAUCCUGUUUGACAUUCAGCAUUAACAGUGUUAUGCGAUAUCACUAUAUAUUUCAUACCACUGCACAGUUGAAUUCUUGAAUGUAAUUGGUCAGAAGGUAUUGAUUAAUUGUCCUUAAUAGCAGCCAUGAUAGUAGUGCAGUUUCAUAUGAAUGCACUUGUUCAUAAAAUGUUAUCAUUUCUAUAGUAACAGCUAACAAGCAGGCACUUGUAAGGUGGACGCUCCACAAAAUUGGAUUUAAAAAAUCAUGUUAUUUCACAAACACACACACACAAAAAACUUUGAAGGAAAAUUGUUGAAGGAAAUUGUGAAGAUUUAUGGAAGGAGUCUUCAGUGUCACCGCUUUGUAACAGUCGGUUUUCGGUAACAUGACAAGCUGCAUUUUUGUUGUUGUUGUUGUUGUUGUAUUAACUUCAAGAGAAAAAAAGAGAGGCUGGUGAAGAAACGUCUGUUUAUGGCUGCUAUAACAUAAGUGUUAAUAUCUGUUAACUAAUGCGUUUACUUCAAAUGUAACUAUAAAUGGAUAAAAAGUACAAUAUGUCAUUAAUACAAAAUAAAAAAACAAAACAAAUAUCUGGUAAAUUGCUUUGGAAUAAAACCCUUUGUAAUGUGCUGUUAUUGUUUGGGUUGCAUUGCUACAUUGAUUAUUUACUCAGUACAGACCAUGUGGCCAAAUUUAAUCUGAACUCUGCUCUAGGUUAUUUGUUUCCAGACCAAAAGACAAACCGAACCAUGAACAUCAGAAUAAACACAUCAUAAGUAAUAUUAUCAAAAUUAAUACAGUAAGUUAAUUGGUGUUUAGUUAAGAGUUAAUGUAAUACACCUUCAUUGACUCCAUGAUCAAUCCAAGACUAAAAAUAUCCUCAUAAAUGAGCAAAAAGGAACACUGUUGAUGAUAAAAACUUGAUAACUUACUGAACUCUGGUCUCUAGGUUUCAAAAUGAAAAGUUUCAGCCUCAGACAACAACCAAAAACAUGUUCACUAAUGUGUUGUUCAUGUUGGUCAUCAUAGCUUUGAUUUUACUUACGAUCAGUCCAUCUCAAUCGGUCCAAUAAUUGUAAAGUUGGUUGCUUUUACCGUUUUUUUAAUUUUUCUAAUUUAUUUUCAGUGAUUACCUCUAUGUACACUAAUUUUUUUUUUUUUUUUUUUUUUUU
Molecule: long non-coding RNA, 2872 nt
Organism: Ictalurus punctatus (channel catfish)
Lineage: Eukaryota; Metazoa; Chordata; Actinopteri; Siluriformes; Ictaluridae
Exons: 2
Source: RefSeq, a predicted model, not a curated record